CAGCCGCCGCGGUAAUACGGAGGGGGCUAGCGUUGUUCGGAAUUACUGGGCGUAAAGCGCACGUAGGCUGCUUUGUAAGUCAGAGGUGAAAGCCCGGGGCUCAACCCCGGAUGUGCCUUUGAGACUGCAGGGCUAGAACGUCGGAGAGGUGAGUGGAAUUCCGAGUGUAGAGGUGAAAUUCGUAGAUAUUCGGAAGAACACCAGUGGCGAAGGCGGCUCACUGGACGACUGUUGACGCUGAGGUGCGAAAGCGUGGGGAGCAAACAGGAUUAGAUACCCCCGUAGUCCCUGUCUCUUAUAC
This 301-nucleotide ribosomal RNA is filed under the name uncultured bacterium. Its description in RNAcentral is "partial 16S ribosomal RNA". It matches the Rfam family "Bacterial small subunit ribosomal RNA", at positions 509 to 807 of the family's 1533-position model. The record is from RNAcentral.